RNAcentral lists this ribosomal RNA (700 nucleotides) under Vibrio sp. MMRF645. RNAcentral's name for it is "bacterial SSU rRNA". It matches the Rfam family "Bacterial small subunit ribosomal RNA", at positions 337 to 1029 of the family's 1533-position model. The record is from RNAcentral. Lineage: Bacteria; Pseudomonadati; Pseudomonadota; Gammaproteobacteria; Vibrionales; Vibrionaceae.
UCCUACGGGAGGCAGCAGUGGGGAAUAUUGCACAAUGGGCGCAAGCCUGAUGCAGCCAUGCCGCGUGUGUGAAGAAGGCCUUCGGGUUGUAAAGCACUUUCAGUCGUGAGGAAGGUAGUGUAGUUAAUAGCUGCAUUAUUUGACGUUAGCGACAGAAGAAGCACCGGCUAACUCCGUGCCAGCAGCCGCGGUAAUACGGAGGGUGCGAGCGUUAAUCGGAAUUACUGGGCGUAAAGCGCAUGCAGGUGGUUUGUUAAGUCAGAUGUGAAAGCCCGGGGCUCAACCUCGGAAUAGCAUUUGAAACUGGCAGACUAGAGUACUGUAGAGGGGGGUAGAAUUUCAGGUGUAGCGGUGAAAUGCGUAGAGAUCUGAAGGAAUACCGGUGGCGAAGGCGGCCCCCUGGACAGAUACUGACACUCAGAUGCGAAAGCGUGGGGAGCAAACAGGAUUAGAUACCCUGGUAGUCCACGCCGUAAACGAUGUCUACUUGGAGGUUGUGGCCUUGAGCCGUGGCUUUCGGAGCUAACGCGUUAAGUAGACCGCCUGGGGAGUACGGUCGCAAGAUUAAAACUCAAAUGAAUUGACGGGGGCCCGCACAAGCGGUGGAGCAUGUGGUUUAAUUCGAUGCAACGCGAAGAACCUUACCUACUCUUGACAUCCAGAGAACUUUCCAGAGAUGGAUUGGUGCCUUCGGGAACUC